UCUCCGUUGGUGAACCAGCGGAGGGAUCAUUACAGAGUUGAAAAACUCCCAAACCAUUGUGAACGUUCCCUAUCCUGUUGCUUCGGCGGACGGCCCGGGCCCCGCGCCCGGCGACCCCAGGCCCCCCGUGGGCGCCCGCCGGAGGUAAACCAAACCCUUGAUUUGCAUUGCCACUCUGAGUAUUCUGUACUGAAUAAGUCAAAACUUUCAACAACGGAUCUCUUGGUUCUG
RNAcentral lists this unclassified non-coding RNA (231 nucleotides) under plant metagenome. Its description in RNAcentral is "partial contains small subunit ribosomal RNA, internal transcribed spacer 1, and 5.8S ribosomal RNA". The record is from RNAcentral.